UGGGGAAUUUCGGACAAUGGGCGCAAGCCUGAUCCAGCCAUGCCGCGUGUGGGAAGAAGGCCUUCGGGUUGUAAACCACUUUUGUCAGGGAAGAAACGGCUCUUACUAAUAUUAGGAGCUAAUGACGGUACCUGAAGAAUAAGCACCGGCUAACUACGUGCCAGCAGCCGCGGUAAUACGUAGGGUGCAAGCGUUAAUCGGAAUUACUGGGCGUAAAGCGUGCGCAGGCGGCUUUGCAAGACAGAUGUGAAAUCCCCGGGCUCAACCUGGGAACUGCAUUUGUGACUGCAAGGCUAGAGUACGGUAGAGGGGGAUGGAAUUCCGCGUGUAGCAGUGAAAUGCGUAGAUAUGCGGAGGAACACCGAUGGCGAAGGCAAUCCCCUGGACCUGUACUGACGCUCAUGCACGAAAGCGUGGGGAGCAAACAGGAUUAGAUACCCCCGUAGUCCCUGAGCGGGCUGGCAAGGCGCAU
Molecule: ribosomal RNA, 472 nt
Filed under: uncultured bacterium
Lineage: Bacteria
Description: bacterial SSU rRNA
Rfam family: Bacterial small subunit ribosomal RNA
Source: RNAcentral